Frieseomelitta varia is the source of this 1364-nucleotide long non-coding RNA. RefSeq lists it as uncharacterized. The record is from RefSeq and is a predicted model, not a curated record. NCBI's taxonomy places the organism in Eukaryota, Metazoa, Arthropoda, Insecta, Hymenoptera, Apidae. The transcript is spliced from 2 exons.
CUUGAAAAAAAGAAAGAAAAAAGGUAAAGGUUUCUCCUCAACGGAAACCUUUCAAUUGGAUGAUUUAACGUUAAAUGACCCUUCCAUAUUUUUCCCUACCUAAAAGUAUUUGUUUUUAUUAACAUGUUACAUGGUCUAGCUCCCUGUUGCAUAAACAUUUAUUAUUCACGUCCACUGUUGACAACAGCAUCGUUCCUUCUUACGAAUAGCACGUUACAACGAUACUAAUUUUUAUCUAAUGACUUUUAGUGUAAUUCGGAAAGAUCGCGGAUAAUAAACUACAGAAUCUACAGAGUUCUACCUUAAAUAGUUCAAAUAAUCCCGUUCUUCUUCAUUUUCUUUUUUUCUUUUUUCUUUUUUUUUUUUUUUCUCUCGAUUGAUUCAUUUCGACUAUAAUACAAUGUUACAAGCAUGAUUCGUGGUUGGUUGGUGACGUAUCGCUAUGGAUCCAUAGAUCCGUCCGAUGGCGAGAUCUAACAGUAUAGGUAAUGGUAUCUUAUGGUACGCGAUGUAUAAUCAAUCGAUGAACAAGUAUAGUUCGAGCACGAACGUUUCUUUUCGUUGAUUCAGAAACGUUGGUUAAUGGAAUCCCGCGUUGCGUAGUUUCCAAACACGGUGGUACUACCGGCUUAUUUGGUGGCACUGGAGGAGGAACACCGCGGGAUACUGGUGGCUUUUUCGAGGGCAGCAUACCAGAUGCUUGAAUCGCCGAACCAGAUCCAACAUGAAAACCAACCUUUCCUGCAGCUUGCGUCGAUGGCAUAAGUUUUACCGUGCCUCCAGGAUUUACAGGAGCAGGCACAACCACACGUUUGUCUACAGCCUGAGGAAUGAAUACACAGGAGAUCCGAUUUAACGUUCGGGUUAUCCCUUUCAAGGGCAUUAUAUUGACAUGUCGCUGCAUUUAAGAUAAUAAUUAAAAACAGAAAGAAGAGGGGAAAAAGAGAGAAGUCGAAAUUAUACCAAAUCACCAAUAUAAAGCGAAGAAAUAAAUCAAUUGCCAGAGAAACAGUGACUGAAGAUCUUUGAAAAAGAGGCCGGCUUGUUACCUAAGCAAAAAAUUGACCAUAUAUAUAUAUAUAUAUAUUUUCCUAUCUUUAACCGAGACAUGUUAAUUCCUAACAAUGAUGUAGGCAACUUAAUACGUUACUUUGCUGACAAAGUCAUUGAGAGAUAGUAUGAAUUUUAUCUGCGAACAUAAUUGGAAGAAUUGUAAAGUUCUACCAUAAAAACUGUAGGUCUACUUUUCUUUGUUAGGAUAGUACAUUACACAACUUGGAAAAAAUAAUAAGUGAAACAACCAAACCGUAAAGUUAGCAAUAGCAAAUACAGGGUUGCAAUUAGGAGGGCAAGCAGGGAAAAUU